This 70-nucleotide ribosomal RNA is filed under the name Paecilomyces sp. RNAcentral's name for it is "partial 28S ribosomal RNA". The record is from RNAcentral. Lineage: Eukaryota; Fungi; Ascomycota; Eurotiomycetes; Eurotiales; Thermoascaceae.
UCCUCUGCGUAGUAUAGCACACCUCGCAACAGGAGCCCGGCGAAUGGCCACUGCCGUAAAACCCCCCAAC